GUCCACACAGUAUAAUUAACCAUAAAACCCUUCCUAUAAAGAUGUAAUGUAACAACAUCUGGACUCAAUAACUUACAACACUUGCAAUUCCAACAAGGACACCUAAUUGUCCCUUCAGUAAGAAAAUUAUCAAGUGUCAUUGCUUUAGCAAUAAAUCCAGCUACCCCAGCUUUAUAUUCCUCCCUCAACCCCACACGGUUAGGAUAAGUUCUAUUAUACAUCCAUGUACGAUCUUCAUU
RNAcentral lists this long non-coding RNA (239 nucleotides) under Capsicum annuum. RNAcentral describes it as "long non-coding RNA (CANN_LNC004543)". The record is from RNAcentral. Lineage: Eukaryota; Viridiplantae; Streptophyta; Magnoliopsida; Solanales; Solanaceae.